UAGCUGAUGAGGAUAAAACAAUUAUCUUAGCGGAUUUCAGUGAGGUUUUAUAAUCAAUGAUCUGAAUUGUUACACACACUGAGGCUU
This is a small nucleolar RNA of Brassica oleracea var. oleracea, 87 nucleotides long. It matches the Rfam family "Small nucleolar RNA R11/Z151". Rfam says of the family: snoR11/Z151 is a member of the C/D class of snoRNA which contain the C (UGAUGA) and D (CUGA) box motifs. Most of the members of the box C/D family function in directing site-specific 2'-O-methylation of substrate RNAs. Lineage: Eukaryota; Viridiplantae; Streptophyta; Magnoliopsida; Brassicales; Brassicaceae. The record is from Rfam.